This is a transfer RNA of Clunio marinus, 86 nucleotides long. It matches the Rfam family "Selenocysteine transfer RNA". NCBI's taxonomy places the organism in Eukaryota, Metazoa, Arthropoda, Insecta, Diptera, Chironomidae. The record is from Rfam.
GCUCAGCUGAUCUGUGAUGGUUCACGGUGCAAGCUUCAAACUUGUAGGUGGUGAAAACCACAGCAGUUCGAUUCUGCCUGCUGAGC